AAAAAUGAAAUUUGGUCGAUAAAAUUUGUUUUUUGAAUAUAUGAGUGAUACACUUUUAUAGGGUUUUGAAAUAAGAUUACUCUUAAUUCCGAGACAGCAAUACAAUGAAUAGUGACAAAAAGUUCCAACUUUGUUCAAAAUCCUUUCUCAAUAUCAUAUAAAGUGCCAAUAGUACACUUGCCACUGUGACUAUUUUACAUUGUGACCUACAUUUUUCUAUUUUACAUUUGGAUUAAGAAUGGCACACAUUGUGUUUGCACUAUAAAUCAUUUUACAAAUAUAACCCCACCUCUAUUCCUUAUUUUACUUUUGCACAUAUUCAAAAUUCCACUUAAGGAAUCAUUAAUCAUUAAUAAGAAUAUUUGUAAAGCUUGUUUGUAUCUGUGUCAAAUUUGUUUGACACUUAAUGUUUAAUUUGGUCCAUAGUUUGAACCAAAAUAGAAUGUUUUAGAUCACCGAUGUGAAGUUCAUGUUCACCCAUUGGGAUUCUUCGAAUCCCAAACUCAUCGACAACAGAGAGGUGGUUACAAACAUGAACACCAACCUUAACACGUGUCUUUGAUCCAGCAGGAACAUAAGUCUUAUGAAAGUUCACCAAUUGUUUAACUCCAUUAGGUGGUUUUGAGAAUAUUAGAAGUGUGUGGGCUCCAUCCAUUGACCCUUCAUUUUUCACAUCCACAUGGAAACCUACUUCCAAUUCAUCACAUUUUGCAUGACUCACUUUUAUUGCUUUGUUAGUUGAGUUUGCGAAGGCUUGGGCCUGGAGGGAUACAUAAGGGACUGAGACUUGUUUGGGAGCAAGUGCUAAGGUAUGAGUGUAUCUUGAGUAACUUAGCCCAUGCCCAAAUGGGAACACUACUGGGCCCUUGUAGAAUCUAUAGGUUCUUCCUGGGUACCCUAUUGCCGGGUUUGGACGCAUGUCCAUGUUUGUCAUUGGCACUUUGCUCACAUAAUUUUGUGGGUACCAUGUAUUGGGUAACCUUCCUCCUGCAAUAAAAGCCCGAACAAAAAAGAGUCAAAUUAGAUGUAACAAAAGUGUUUGUUCUUCAUAAUUUCAUUCUAGUUGCUGCAAAAACAUAACAGGUGUUCAUUCUAAUAUUAUUCUUCAAUUAGAUUUUCUUACCUGG
This 1127-nucleotide long non-coding RNA is filed under the name Lathyrus oleraceus (garden pea). RNAcentral's name for it is "Pisum sativum (pea) long non-coding RNA (PSAT_LNC003223)". The record is from RNAcentral. Lineage: Eukaryota; Viridiplantae; Streptophyta; Magnoliopsida; Fabales; Fabaceae.